Long non-coding RNA from Saccostrea echinata, 2584 nucleotides. RefSeq lists it as uncharacterized. Lineage: Eukaryota; Metazoa; Mollusca; Bivalvia; Ostreida; Ostreidae. The transcript has 2 exons. The record is from RefSeq and is a predicted model, not a curated record.
UAAGGCUGCGCAUUGCAUUGUUUAUAGUAGACAUGGGAGAUAAAGUUUAUAUCUAAGCUUUUUGAAUGGAAUAUACUGAAAACACUCAAUGACAACUACCUGAAUGAUAGCAGAGUUACUGUAUACAUUGGAUCAUAAUGCAUGCAAAUGAAAAGGACUCAUUUAACAUGUUUAAAAAGAUGAAGGCAUUUGGAAGAAUCAAAGAAGAAUUUGUUGGUGUUAUAAUGGGCAUAAGAUGGAGGUAAACAACCCAGCAGGACCGUAACCACCAAGAUGUCUGAGGAGUAAAAACAGAAAACACAUAGAUGUGUAAAGGAUACGUUUAUAUAGAGACCACAGAAAAGUAUUAAACAAGAAAUCAUCGGUAUAAUAUUCUGAUGACGCUUUUAAAGUAAAUUGGAUAUAUAAACAAUAGUGGUUCUUUUAUUCAAAAAACAUCAGGGAAAAUUACUCAACAGUUCAUAGUGGAAGGAUUGCUAAAACGUGUAAGUGAAAUUUCAUAUCAGAUGUCAAAUGAUACAGAUCAAGGCCCAACCACUAGGAUUUUACCACAAUGUUACCCACGAGCUGGAACUAGGAAACCCACUUCACAAACAGAAUUUGGAACAGUCAGUAAUUUGGACCUUGACUCUCGCAAAGCAUGUCAAAGUUGUGAAAAGGGAUACAAAUAUAUUUCCAUCAAUCUUAGGAGUAAAAAAUGCAUAAUAUCAACUCUUGCAUAUUGUGAUUGUGUUAGACUUCCAUGUAUCAUUUUAAUUCUAUUUGGAAUGACUACAUAAUCUAUAGAAGACUAAUACAUGAUCUAUUUUUUUUUAUUCUUAAAGUGUGUGCUGUGUUCAUUAUUUAAAUGGUGAUGAUCCUCUCAGAUCAUUGUUCCCUUUUACAUAUGCGGUAUGAAUUCCUAAUGUUUUCUAUAUCUGUAUAUGAGAAUACUAAGUUAAUGUAUUUUGAUUGCUUCACCCAAAGAUUUCAUCAGGGGAGUGUAUGAAUUGAAAUGUUUAGCUCAAGAUGAUUUUUGGUGCUCCUAUGACUAAGUAUUAGAGCGUUAACUUUGCUCGAGAGUCACGCAGUUAAGUGUUAAUCCUUACGUCGUGGUUUCCCAACCACUGCACGACAUGCAGACUAGGUGCAGGCAAGGAAAAAUUCUCCGAUUACAAAGGGACGUUAAAGAAACAAAGAAAAGUAUUUUUCGUUUGAAAAAAUGAGUUAAAAGAAGUGUUUCAUUCAGCUGUGUAUUGGGGUGCAGAUAAAACAGUACAUGGAGGGUUAUUUUUAUAUAUUGUUUAUAUACUACUGUGCCUUAUUGGAGGAAGCACAUUUGUUUUUGAAAUUGUAUACACUUUUUUGACAUUGUAUUUCAUAUUUAUUUUGAUCACAUGUUGAUAGGUCCACUUAUUGUUGAAUUGCAAACCUAUCAACAUAAAGAGGAGGUAAGAUGUAAAUUUUCGUCUUUUCUGUUGAAUCCACCAGCUUUCUGUCCUUGUGUAUAGAAACGAACUUAGUCAUUGUAAAGGAAAACUACGAAUGCUUUUUGAUUUUAAUGCUUUUGGUGGAUCCACCAAACUCCCCACUUUUAAUAAAUACACAGGCAAUGUUGACAAUAUAUCAUUUAAGUAUUCUUGAGUAUUCCUAUUUGCAUUUUGGUGGAUCCACGAAGUAUUUGUAAGUGAAAUCGAGAAUGCCUAGUUAUUUGAUUUUUUUUUUACAGUUUUGUGAGUCCACCAAACUCCUCUCUGUAUUUAAGGACAAUUUAGUUGAACUUUGGGUUACAUGUAGAUUUUUGACUUUUCUGGUGGAUCCACCAGCUUUUUGUCCUUGUGUACAUAAAUGUAUUAAGGAAGUGUCACUAGGUAAUUGUAAAGGAAAAUUAUGAAUGUCUUUUGAUUUUUAGCUUUUGGUGGAUCCACCAAAAUGCCCACUAUAGAUAAUUACACGGAUAAUGUUGACAGUAUAUCAUUCAAGUAUUCUUGUGUAUUCCUGUUUGUAUUUUUGGUGGAUCCACCAAGUAUUUGUGAGUAAAAUUGAGAAUGUCUUGUUAGUUGAUUUUUUGCAUUUUGGUGAGUCCACCGACUCUGUAUGAGGGACAAUUUUAGUUAUACUUUCUUUUUUAGUUUUUGGUGGUUCCUCCACUCAGUUUCUCUCAAUGAGUUGUUUCAGUGUCUUAACACUGGUGGAUUCACCAACGUCGUUUUUAAAGUAUCAUCAUUAUCAAAAGUAAUUGAGAAUUUCACCAGAUUGCUUUUUUAAAUUUGAGCUGAAUUGUCUAUUUGUAUUUUUGGUAGAAUCACCAAGUUUUCUUGAAGAUAUUUCAGUUGUUUUGUUGGUAAGUUCACCAAUUCUUUUAAUGAAUUGUAGAAUUAUGUAUGGUCAAAUUCACUCUUGUUUUCUUGGUGGAACCACCAAGAUCAAUCUUUACUUGAAGAUAUUUGAUAAUUCAAAUUGGUGGAUUCACCAAUCCUUUGACUGUGAUUAUGGAAUACCGAUACAUUAUUGAUCUGUUUAAACAUAAAUAUUGGUGACCACACCAAUUCUUAACUUAUUCAAUAACGAAAAUGAAUAAAAAAAAUUGUCGAUUUCUGAAAUU